GCUAAUACUUAACCACCACACCAAGCAGGUGGAAGUUUGAGGGCCAUUGAGCACUGUGAAUUUUCCCAAUGCAUCACAAUUACCAAAACACCUGUGCUAAAUAACUUUGCGCUGAGCCACUGUGAAAAUUCACAGAGUGCUCAAUAGCCCUUGAAAUUUCUCAUUUCUAACCAGGGCUGGAGUGGCUGAGCGCUCACACAUUGCAGCACAGCACAAAGCAGUGAUCUGUGAAAACCUCUAAAGGGAUGACACGGAGGGAACAAAGCUGGAUAAAAUCCUGGAGUAUUUGCCAAACUGACAAAAAAUAUAGAAGAGAAAACAUCAAGCCCAGCCAAGUCAAAUAUCAAUCUACUUUUGUGUGCUUUGUUUCAUUAAGUUUACUUUAUGAUUCAUUUGUAACAAACUGUGGUGGAUAAUGAGUACUUGCAUCACAAACCUCUGUGUGCUUAAGAAAUCACUCUCUCUACACGGAGAAGGACUGGAUAAAAACAACAGAGCCCUCUCAUUUGAAAAAGCCCUCGGUGGUCUAAGCACGAGUGGAGAUCUCUUAAGCAGUGCUCCAGCAAUGAAGCACUCACAUCAACACUGAAGUAUUCAAGCUCUGUGGAGACAUCCCAGCCCAUUCUAUUCAAGCCUGCCAAGAUGCCCUGUAAGCGUAUCUCCAAGCACGUAGUGGUUUUUGGGCAGCUGCCUCCUGGGUGGAUAGCCCAGGAGAUACCCACAGGCAGGCAUGUUGUGCGCAUCCAGCAGCUCUCCCUGAGGACACUGCCAACCCCAGCUUACACGUCAGAGGACAGCAAAAGUCUGAAGCUGCAGAAGGCUGAACGCCUCACCCAUUGGUCUUGGUGGUAGUCCAUCGAUGCAGGAUCAGGUCUAGAUCCACUAGAGUCUAUCCAGGCCCCUUUCCACCACAGCUCGAGAUCUCCAAGCACACAUCCCAUGGGGCAAGCUGCUCCCACUUCAAGCUGGAUGUGACACACAGACAAAUAGGAAGGGAAAGCACACACUAAGUGAAAACACUUUAAAACAAAAUGAGAUUCAUAGACAAGUUCAUCUCUCAUGCAGAAGUUAGCCCUUUAUACAGAUGAACUUCCACUUCUCUCUGGUUUACUUGAUUUUCUUCAUACUUCACUUAGAAGCGGUCCCACAACUAAUCAGAUCAACGCCAAGACAGCAGACUUUGUCAAAUUCCUCAAAACUUGUGCUAUUCCCAGGCUGGGCCUGCCAUUUGCCUCCUUCAGCCACAGCCACAGGGAAGCAAUUGCACCUCUGCUCCUGCCAACCUGCAGGAACUGCUCCCUUAUCAAUAACUGCAGCGCUGAAGAGAGUGUCUCCCAUAUGACAGGCAGCUAGAAACGAGCUGAUCCAGCAGGAAAAAAAGCACGAAGGACUGAAUUGCAGGCAAGCUGCAGGUGUUCAGAUAAUUACAAGAGUUUGGCAAACUGUGGGAACAGCACACGCUCCUAAAACGACAGCACAAGCUUUAAUACUUCCAUUGCACAUCUGUGCAUCAGUGUCUCACUCCCCCCCCCCACCUCAGCAUUUUGAAUGCAUAGCAGAGCUUUGCAAAGCCUUUGGGUGAAGAUUCAAACACUAAGCAAAGAGAUAAAUG
This is a long non-coding RNA of Gallus gallus (chicken), 1612 nucleotides long. Lineage: Eukaryota; Metazoa; Chordata; Aves; Galliformes; Phasianidae. The record is from Ensembl.